This 659-nucleotide long non-coding RNA is filed under the name Marmota monax (woodchuck). Lineage: Eukaryota; Metazoa; Chordata; Mammalia; Rodentia; Sciuridae. The record is from RNAcentral.
CCUCUAUCUUCGUUUCACUCCAUUUAGAUUUUUUCCCCCCUAUAGUCAACUGAAACCACUCAAAAAGGUCUCCAGGGCUGCCUUAUAUAGUUUCAUGUCUCUGUCUUCAUCCUACCUGAUCUGUUGGCAGUAUUUGAUUGGGUUGAUUACUCCCUCCUUGAAAAACUACUCUUGGUUUCCCCAAAAUCACUUUCCACUAGAAAUCAUCUGCCAGCUGCUAUUUGAGUCAGUUUGACCGAUCUUUAAAUGAAUAUAAAUGUACCGGAGUUUGAUUCUCCAGCACUGGAGACACACACACACACACACACUUACUCUCUCUCACACACACACACAAACACAGUUAUAUCUCUCCUCUGUUCAAACUUUCCAGUCACUUAAUGUUUCUCAUCACAUUCAGAAUUAAAUCCACACCCUUUGCCCUGGCCUACAAAAUGGAAGUCAUCUGGCUUCUGCCCAUUCUUCAGCUGCAUCUUAUACCACACUGGCCUUUGUGCUCUGUCUUGAUCCCACCAAGCUCAUAAGGGCUGUUAUGCUUGUUAUUUCCUGUGCCUAGAAAGCAUUUCACUCCAAUUUGCAUGGUUCACUACUUAUCAUUUAGAACUCUGCUCAGAUAUAAUCUCCUCAGAGAGACCUUCCCAAACAACUCUAUCACUGCUUCC